Molecule: ribosomal RNA, 406 nt
Filed under: uncultured bacterium
Lineage: Bacteria
Description: partial 16S ribosomal RNA
Rfam family: Bacterial small subunit ribosomal RNA
Source: RNAcentral
AUUGAACGCUGGCGGCAGGCUUAACACAUGCAAGUCGAGCGAGCGGCGGACGGGUGUGUAAUGUCUGGGAAACUGCCGGAUGGGGGGGGAUAACUACUGGAAACGGUAGCUAUUACCGCAUACCAUCGGAUGUGCCCAGAUGGGAUGAUAGAGGAUGUGGGGUAAAGGCUCACCUAAGCGACGAUCCCUAGCUUGUCUGAGAUGAUGACAAGCCACAUGUGAGCGGAGACACGGUACAGUCUCCUACGGGAGGCAGCGGUGGAGAAUAUUGCACAGUGCACGGAAGGCUGACGUCGCCAAGCCGCGUGUAUGAAGAGGGGCUGCGGGUUGUGGAGGACUUUUUGCGAGGAAGCGUUACUCUCAGAAGAAGCACCGGCUAACUCCGUGCCAGCAGCCGCGGUAAUAC